AGGCCUUAGCGAUUAGUUUUCUUUUCUUAUUUUGUGAGAAAUGUUAGAUUUUACGGAAAUGUAUAUUUAUUGAAUAAAAAUGUUUUUGUAACCUGGGAACCACGAGCCCUUGCCUGUUGAGUGAAACGAACCCGCGUGCUUUAAAAGGUCUUGGGCCUAUCCCAAGUGGCGUUGCCGGUAGAAUAGGGAACCAUUUCGCCACAAAACUAAAUAUGAUUUUCUCAACGUCUGCUUCAGGGCCAAACAUUUUAACAUAUACUAGUGGAAACAAUUAAAACCGAGUAGGGACUAAAACUAUAGAUGUUUAUUGGACCAUAACAAAUGAAUAAUAACCAAUGUAUACUUAGCAUGUGAUGGACCAGCAGUGAUCAUAAUACUGCAAUGGGUUUUUAGUCAUUGCUUCCUGAUUACCCCAACAAAGUUUUUUUGAGAACUACAACACCGCCUUGUGUAUUAGUCUUUGCAAUAAAAUUUAUGGUGAUGCACGCAUAGAGGAGACUAAUGGACAUAAAGCCAGUCUGUUGUAAUGGGGCUCGUCUCACCUGCUCGCUAAACCAAAUACAUGAAGAAAAUAAAAAUACAAAAAGAGAGUGGUGCAUUUUUAAUCUGGUACGCAUUCGGAAACAGGCUAGAAGUGGCAGAGUUAUCAAUGACAGGACUGUAUUCUACAAGUGAGCAAUCUCGUGUGCCGCAGCGCUUGGCGCUGUACAUUUCAUCCCUGUGGAAAGCAAUUUACUCCACCAGCUUUAUUCUGCAGAUGAGUGUUGGUGGGAUAUUCUCGUGUAACUGCAACUAUUUAUGCACUGAAUGUGAAGAUUUGUUGAUGGAUCUGAGGUACGGAGAGUUGAGUGCAGGCGCACACUGUAGAUGACACCGGUCUAAAUGAUGAUGUUUUGCUGUAUGCAUUUAGCUUAAAGGAAGUUUGCAUCUUUAGAAAAAAAAAGGCUUAUUAGAGCACCACACUAGACACGUGUUUAAUGACCAUGGCACAGAAAGUGCAUUCUCUUUUGUCAGUGGAUAAACAGGGAUGCACAGAGGUUUGUAGCUGGGUUGCAAAGCGUUAGUUUGUGGAUUUGAUUAUUUUUCUGGGUAGGUUACGCGCAGCCGUUUUUAUGGUUUGGGUUUGUUUGAUUUCUCAGGAUGAAACACCGAAAGAUACUGAAACUUGAAACACAAUAAAAACCCAAAUUGUAGUUACAAGUGACAAUCCACGGCAGAGGCAAAUAUAAACUAUGAGCAGAUGCAUGGUUUGUGUAAGAAUGUGCUUUCCAUCUUCGACUAUAUCUCUCACUCAAAUUGAGACAAACAACAUCUUUUAAAUUAUUUAGACCAUCUUUUAAACUAUGUAUUACCUCUUAAACACAUUUUUGCUAAAUACUUUCAGAGAAAAUGACAGACUGGCCAAUUUUUCUAUAGCCCAAACACGCCACGGGAAGAUGUGUUGUGCGUCGCAGCUGUUACCAUGCCACUUUCUUACCAUGCAAUUGCAAGCAGCACAGUGUUUACUUUGCAGGCACCAAUGCUUGCGUGAGGCAGACCGGUUUUAAACAUUUACAGCAUGUUUAUACAUAAUAAAUUCAAAUCUCUAUUCUUACCGCCUUCAUUAAAAUCUUUGCUUCAUGUGUCAAAUGCAAUAAAUAAAAGAGCAUGAGUCGGGUUGAUUUUCUAAUUUGUAUGUCAAGCGAGUAUUUGUUUGAAGAAAACACAUGAAUAAGUAAGUCAUCUCGUCAAUUUUAACACUAUCAAUAUUGUCUACAAUGGAUGUGUUCAGGCAUCCGAGUCGUACAGAGGUUAUGACAGGCUCCAUCACUGCAAAAGUUAGAAGGACUCGUGAAGAAACUGAGAAUUACAAAGAAAAACUCCACACUAUAUUAUGGUAUCCCUCAGCUGUCAUGGAAACCGGUCGAUGUCGAAUGAAUCGCGGAUCACUGACUUCAUGUUCACUCAGCUGGGCUUUCCCUGCGGAGAACAGCUUCAGCUAGACAGAUGCUUCCAGGUGGAAGUGGACCGGAGGGCAGUGCAGUACUUCUGGAGGGCUGCCACCAAGAGCUCCGGCUAAAUCCACCCUACGCCCACUGCACGGCCGUGGAAGAGCCUCUCCCCCCAACCAUCAAUGGAGGUAAUGUGCAUGCGUUGGGACAACUUAAUGGCAAUAGAAUAACUAUUAUUCUCUAAUUCUAAAAUCGGCCGCUUAUCCACUAUCACCUUAGAAAUAUUCUCUUUUAUUUAUGACACUUGAGGGAAUUAUCUGGCUCAUCAGCUGGUUUGUAACGUUGUCUGUCCACCAUUUGGUGCAAGUAGCGUUCAAUGGGUUAAUCUGAACUGCCUGUUGGGGCAAAGCAUUGUGGCAGUGAGAGUGAACUCCAACAGUAAAUAGAUUCAGGGUAUGAAACAUAAAAUGUCGAGCUCAAGAAGAUGUUCAUGGAGCUGCAGGCAACCACACAUUUGAGUUUCAUUAACAAAAUUCUCACUACAUGUGCAUGUGGUGCCAUAUUGAUCAGUGCAGCUUUUUCUGCCUUAAACAGAUGGAAGGAAAUACAAUCCACAGGUCUGUAAAACUCAAAGUCGUAGUGGGAGGGAUUAGGCUGGCUAAUUACAGCAGUCUAAUUAACUAACUUUGUGAAAUACAGGAAUACGGCAUUUUCAUUUGCUUAAUUAACUUUGGAUGAAAAGAGCGUCAGUCUCAGCGCCGUCCUUCAUUAUUGAGCACUUGACAAUUGUUUACGGUUUCAAAUCUGCCUUCCAUUGUUUCCCUCCACCGGAGACAGAAUCUAAAUGUGCUAUUCAAUACCAAACUUAAUAAAAAUAUGUGGUUCUAAGUAAACAAUCCAAGCGCUUUUUUUUUCAGCAUCACAGAUUUCUAAAUAAAGUGGAGAUUAAGUGAGUUAUUAAGUUGCUGCUGGAGCGUAACAAAGUCCUCACAAUGAUGACAUCCCCGUCAUGGAUGGUGAUGGCAGUCAGAAUUUGUAUUCUGUCGCCUCUGUCGCUUCCCGUUAUGUGAAAUCUCUUCUUGUCUCUUUCCGUUCUCCGACUGACAGGGACGAGCUCAGAAUACAGACCGAGCCUCCGUUUUCCUCAAUGAUGGACGUAAAUAGGCUGGUAUUAACACGCUCCCUAACUCUUCCUCACUUAGGGGAAAAAUCCUUGUCCUGUGCUCAACUUUUGACGUAACUGCCUCGGGACGGACAGUUUGCAAAGCGGCGGAGUGACUGCCGUUUGGCAACUGAUGUGCGGUUGUUCUGUGAGGCGGCCACUUUAUUUCUGCCCUUUUGUCAACUUUCUUUCUCUUCCCCGCUCCGCAGAGGUUCAGCCCAUACUUCACACCUCCAUGCCGUCUCACACACCUUCGCCUUAAAAAAAAGAAUAAACAGUUGCAGCCUGGAUCAAAUAAGGCCGAGUGGCUGCUUGUGGGGAAAGGGGGCGCCUCUGUUUUAAGGUCGAAGGUGGCUGCUCCGAGCGGAACAGGACACACUGCGGGCGCAUGUUUCCUUGAACGUGGCCGUAUCGCAGUCAAGCGGGUCAGGAGUGUGCUGAAAGCACUUUUGCCAAUUCAGCGGCCACAAGAGGCCCACCCGGGCGCAGGGUAGGACCAAAAGAAAAGUCCCGAGCAAGUCAAACCUUUAAGUGGAGAAGACGUGUAGGAUAAUUGACGAAAAGGACACUUGUGAUGUGCAUGUAGGCACCUUGACUUCUGUGGUUAUUGAAACUCGGUUUCACAAUAAGUAGCCAGCAGGUCUGCUGUGCAUAAUUGUGACUCAACAGUGUGCAGCAUCACAGUGCAGACUGUCAUGACACACAGAGCUUCGUUUUGCAGCUCACUGCUUAAUGAUGAGAAAACACGAGUUACAUUGUAUACAAACGUUGAUGUGCAAUUGCAAAUUGCAUAACUGGGAUCUUGAAUGAGUUUCCCACAAAAAGACAAAGUAGACAGGAACAUUACGGAAGUCUCAGGUUCUCAUUUGGCAUCAUUCCUGCAUUAGCAGUUCCCAUAAGUUAUCUUUGUGCGAGCGUACAUCAGCCGCCCUCCUUCUCAAUUGGUUUGGUGGUGAAUCUAAAACUGCUCCGUUUCAGGUUAAACCUCAUGCUACAUGACGGUAGCUCUGCUGACUCAUAAAUAUUAUACUGAGGCUGUGCUGACAUCAGCUGAAUAUGAAUCUAUCAGAGCACCCAUUUGUUGUUUGGUUCCACUGGAGCUCCAUUCAGUUGUCUAAAUGACCCUUCAUUUAUUUUAGUGCCCUGUUUCAAAAUGGGGGAGGCAGCCGAGCACUCUGGGUGAUACUCUGGAUGAUACUCCGGAUGCGGAGCCAUCAUGGCUCAGCUGACGGAUGGAGCUGAUGCCUUUUCUCCUGCUCCGCUUCUGUUGCUUUUUCCUCCACUCUGCCGCUAAUGGACGAGACGCUCUUGUUCUCUGGUUGCAAAUGUAGCUCUUAGCUGCUGCUUUUAAAAUAGAUUAGGUGGUUUUCUCUUUCCGUUUCGUAGCUUCUUAUAUAUCUUAUCUUGGUGGUAUGUUCCAAUAUAUCCAUAACUCAUGGCAUUUUAGCCCUUUGGGUUUUGUUCAGUGGUGAAAUACGUACGAUAUUGUUUGGGAAGAAUGUUGUUUUUUCAUUCAGUCGAAUCAAUUGUCAUUAGUAGCAUUAAAGUAUUUUCACAAUCUUGAAA
Molecule: non-coding RNA, 4659 nt
Organism: Gasterosteus aculeatus aculeatus (three-spined stickleback)
Lineage: Eukaryota; Metazoa; Chordata; Actinopteri; Perciformes; Gasterosteidae
Source: RefSeq, a predicted model, not a curated record